RNAcentral lists this ribosomal RNA (324 nucleotides) under uncultured eukaryote. RNAcentral's name for it is "partial 18S ribosomal RNA". It matches the Rfam family "Eukaryotic small subunit ribosomal RNA", at positions 1470 to 1796 of the family's 1831-position model. The record is from RNAcentral.
CCCUUAGAUGUUCUGGGCCGCACGCGCGCUACACUGAUGCAUUCAACGAGCACCCGCUGGGCCGAGAGGUCCGGCUAAUCUUUGAACGUGCAUCGUGCUGGGGAUAGAUGAUUGCAAUUAUUCAUCUUCAACGAGGAAUUCCUAGUAAACGCAAGUCAUCAGCUUGCGUUGAUUACGUCCCUGCCCUUUGUACACACCGCCCGUCGCACCUACCGAUUGAAUGGUCCGGUGAAAUUCUCGGACGCGGACUUGCGAUGUUAAUUCGGAGCUUGACUGUGAAAGUUAAUUAAACCUUACCAUUUAGAGGAAGGUGAAGUCGUAACA